UAGGGAAUCUUCGGCAAUGGACGGAAGUCUGACCGAGCAACGCCGCGUGAGUGAAGAAGGUUUUCGGAUCGUAAAGCUCUGUUGUUAGAGAAGAACGAGUGUGAGAGUGGAAAGUUCACACUGUGACGGUAUCUUACCAGAAAGGGACGGCUAACUACGUGCCAGCAGCCGCGGUAAUACGUAGGUCCCGAGCGUUGUCCGGAUUUAUUGGGCGUAAAGCGAGCGCAGGCGGUUAGAUAAGUCUGAAGUUAAAGGCUGUGGCUUAACCAUAGUACGCUUUGGAAACUGUUUAACUUGAGUGCAAGAGGGGAGAGUGGAAUUCCAUGUGUAGCGGUGAAAUGCGUAGAUAUAUGGAGGAACACCGGUGGCGAAAGCGGCUCUCUGGCUUGUAACUGACGCUGAGGCUCGAAAGCGUGGGGAGCAAACAGGAUUAGAUACCCUGGUAGUCCACGCCGUAAACGAUGAGUGCUAGGUGUUAGACCCUUUCCGGGGUUUAGUGCCGCAGCUAACGCAUUAAGCACUCCGCCUGGGGAGUACGACCGCAAGGUUG
RNAcentral lists this ribosomal RNA (550 nucleotides) under uncultured bacterium. Its description in RNAcentral is "bacterial SSU rRNA". It matches the Rfam family "Bacterial small subunit ribosomal RNA", at positions 355 to 896 of the family's 1533-position model. The record is from RNAcentral.